CUCCCCCCAGCUCAGAAAGAGACCAGCUUCACCCAGAGCAUACUCCCUCCAAGCAGUGCAGACCAGGGCCACCCCGAGAGGCUGUGGGGGCCGCGGCGGAGUCGGGAGGGCUCGUGGGGUGCUCGGGGUCCGACGUCGCCAGGGGGUGUGUAGGUGGCGCGCGCCUCAAAAGUGGGUCUUCAGCGAGCUGGAGAACACGAGCGGGGGAGACCCGGGCUGGGGAGACCAAAGGGAGAGAGCGCGGACGCCUGGCGAGGAGAGGCUAGCGCUCCCCGGCCGGCUUUGUUGUGGUCGCCCGAGGCGCGGCGGCGGGGCCCCAGGAACCCCGGCUGCCGGCCGUGGUAGUUACACCAGGACGCCCGCGCCGGGCCGGGGAGACGCGGCUGGCUCCGGAUGAACUUUUCCCAAAAGGAAAAGGAGGACAGUGAGGAAGGAAGAAGAACUCCAAGAUUAAAAAUGUCCUUCUCGUUUGAUGCCGAGUUGCUGGUCGACAUGUUUUUUAAAGGAUCCCCUCAAGUCUGAUAGGAAAGACAGGACUACUUCUGGACUAGCUGUAAGGAUGUGUUUUUGUUUCUAUAACACUGAAGCACUUUUCAUAAACCUUUUACUGUAUCUAUAUAAGUCUAUUUGGACAUUAAAAGAAGCGAAGGCACAAAGAUAGCUUGGCUUUAUGCCCUCAAUCUAGCCUUAACAACAACAACAAAAUCCAGAAUCUGAG
Molecule: long non-coding RNA, 718 nt
Filed under: Heterocephalus glaber (naked mole-rat)
Lineage: Eukaryota; Metazoa; Chordata; Mammalia; Rodentia; Bathyergidae
Description: lncRNA (ENSHGLG00100033515.1)
Source: RNAcentral